UACGUAGGUGGCAAGCGUUGUCCGGAAUUAUUGGGCGUAAAGCGCGCGCAGGCGGUCUCUUAAGUCUGAUGUGAAAUCUCGUGGCUCAACCACGAGCGGCCAUUGGAAACUGGGGGACUUGAGUACAGAAGAGGAGAGUGGAAUUCCAUGUGUAGCGGUGAAAUGCGUAGAUAUAUGGAGGAACACCAGUGGCGAAGGCGACUCUCUGGUCUGUAACUGACGCUGAGGCGCGAAAGCGUGGGGAGCAAACAGG
Molecule: ribosomal RNA, 253 nt
Filed under: uncultured bacterium
Lineage: Bacteria
Description: partial 16S ribosomal RNA
Rfam family: Bacterial small subunit ribosomal RNA
Source: RNAcentral